RNAcentral lists this ribosomal RNA (523 nucleotides) under uncultured bacterium. Its description in RNAcentral is "partial 16S ribosomal RNA". It matches the Rfam family "Bacterial small subunit ribosomal RNA", at positions 28 to 523 of the family's 1533-position model. The record is from RNAcentral.
GACGAACGCUGGCGGCGUGCCUAAUACAUGCAAGUCGAGCGCAGGAAAUCAUCCGAACCUUUCGGGGGGACGUUGAUGGAAUGAGCGGCGGACGGGUGAGUAACACGUAAAGAACCUGCCCUCAGGUCUGGGAUAACCACGAGAAAUCGGGGCUAAUACCGGAUGGGUCAUCGGACCGCAUGGUCCGAGGAUGAAAGGCGCUUCGGCGUCGCCUGGGGAUGGCUUUGCGGUGCAUUAGCUAGUUGGUGGGGUAAUGGCCCACCAGGGCGACGAUGCGUAGGCGACAUGAGAGGGUGAUCGGCACACUGGGACUGAGACACGGCCCAGACUCCUACGGGAGGCAGCAGUAGGGAAUCUUCCACAAUGGACGAAAGUCUGAUGGAGCAACGCCGCGUGAACGAUGAAGGCCUUCGGGUCGUAAAGUUCUGUUGUAAGGGAAGAACAAGUGCCGCAGGCAAUGGCGGCACCUUGACGGUACCUUGCGAGAAAGCCACGGCUAACUACGUGCCAGCAGCCGCGGUAA